CUAGCUCAUGUUUGUUACUGGCCACAGAAUCAGAAAUCAUCUGAUGAGGAAGAGAGUGAUAGUGAUGCUGCUGAAGAAGAAGACCAUGAAGAAAAAGAAUGCAUUGGCAAUGAAGACAGGAAAGAACAAGAUGAAGCAGAGCAUGUUGAUAAUCAAGCAACUGAAAAUAAGGAACAGAGCAAUAAAUCAUUUGAGAGUGAGGAAAAUAAUCUGACGGCUGUAGAAACAAUAGAGGAUCAAAAGUCAUCUAAUGAGGACGAGGAAGAGGUUGAGGACGAGGAGGAGGAAGAUGGCAUUGAUGAUUACUAUUGUGAAAAAAAGGAUACAGACAAACAGGAAGAAAAGGAUAAAGCAAAACAUGAUGAUCAAACUUCUGAGGAUGAGGGACACAGCAGAAAAUUAUGUGAGAAUGAGGAAAAGAAUCCUAUGACUACAGAAACAAUAGAGAAAGAAGAGGCUAUUCCAGAGGAUGACACAACUAAGCAAGAGAAUAAGAAGGCUGAAGUCCAUACUGCAAGCAAUUCUUCACAAGCCGUUACAGACACUCAUGACAGAUCAUCUGGACGACUCCUUGAGAAGGCAAAAAGGUUUUCUUUCUUUAAACGAAAAUCUUCAAAGCAGAAGAAUGCACCCAGCGGUGAUGAAAACAAACUUGAAAAGCUACCUCACAGUGAGAAAGAAACUGGAAAUCAAACAGGUAUAUCUGAGGAAAAGAGUAAAGAUGAAAACCAGAACCACACCAGCGAAAAUCAAAAUGAGCCACCACGAGGAAAUAGGGACAGAAAAGCAUCCUCUACUUGUGUAAUACUUUAAUAUUGAAAUAUAUGAUGCUUGUAUAUAUACAAUGCCACAGUUGGCAAUUUGCAAGCAAAUAUUGCAGUUUAUACUUGAAAACAAUAAUGGCAUAUAUGUAAUGAUUAUAAUGAUGGGGGUUGCAAAAUUAGCAUGUUUGGACUGAUUUAUUUCAAUUUGGGACCAACUUCCUAGUAUUUAUUUGUAUUUGUAACUCUAGUUAUUGCAAUAGCUAUGGCUAUCACAGUCUCACUGAAGUGUUGUGGCCUUAACUCUUAAGUGUUUUAAUAAAAAUAUAUUUUUAUACAUGAAAAGUUGGGAAAGGCAUGUUAUUGUUUCCUAAGCACUUCUACAACUGCUAGCAUACUCUGUAAAUGUUCUUUUGAUUCAGGAAGAGAGCCA
This 1194-nucleotide long non-coding RNA is filed under the name Varanus komodoensis (Komodo dragon). Its description in RNAcentral is "lncRNA (ENSVKKG00000015902.1)". The record is from RNAcentral. Lineage: Eukaryota; Metazoa; Chordata; Lepidosauria; Squamata; Varanidae.